AGAGUUUGAUCCUGGCUCAGAGUGAACGCUGGCGGCGUGCUUAACACAUGCAAGUCGAGCGAACUUUGGCAGUGUAUCGCUGAAGUUAGCGGCAGACGGGUGAGUAAUACUUGGGCAAUCUACCUUCAAGUGGGGGACAACCUGCCGAAAGGCGGGCUAAUACCCCAUAAGACCACAGGAUGGCAUCAUCCAGGGGUCAA
Molecule: ribosomal RNA, 200 nt
Filed under: uncultured bacterium
Lineage: Bacteria
Description: partial 16S ribosomal RNA
Rfam family: Bacterial small subunit ribosomal RNA
Source: RNAcentral